This 440-nucleotide ribosomal RNA is filed under the name uncultured bacterium. Its description in RNAcentral is "partial 16S ribosomal RNA". It matches the Rfam family "Bacterial small subunit ribosomal RNA", at positions 338 to 795 of the family's 1533-position model. The record is from RNAcentral.
CCUACGGGAGGCAGCAGUGGGGAAUAUUGCACAAUGGGGGAAACCCUGAUGCAGCGACGCCGCGUGAGUGAAGAAGUAAUUCGUUAUGUAAAGCUCUAUCAGCAGGGAAGAAAAUGACGGUACCUGAGUAAGAAGCCCCGGCUAACUACGUGCCAGCAGCCGCGGUACUACGUAGGGGGCAAGCGUUAUCCGGAUUUACUGGGUGUAAAGGGAGCGUAGACGGCAGUGCAAGUCUGGAGUGAAAGGCGGGGGCUCAACCCCCGGACUGCUCUGGAAACUGUACGGCUGGAGUGCAGGAGAGGUAAGUGGAAUGCCUAGUGUAGCGGUGAAAUGCGUAGAUAUUAGGAGGAACACCAGUGGCGAAGGCGGCUUACUGGACUGUAACUGACGUUGAGGCUCGAAAGCGUGGGGAGCAAACAGGAUUAGAUACCCGUGUAGUC